Molecule: ribosomal RNA, 506 nt
Filed under: uncultured bacterium
Lineage: Bacteria
Description: bacterial SSU rRNA
Rfam family: Bacterial small subunit ribosomal RNA
Source: RNAcentral
AGAGUUUGAUCCUGGCUCAGGAUGAACGCUGGCGGCGUGCUUGACACAUGCAAGUCGAACGGACUUUACAUGAAGCCUAGCGAUUGUAAAAAGUUAGUGGCGGACGGGUGAGUAACGCGUGAAUAACCUGCCUUAUACUGGGGGACAACAGUUGGAAACGACUGCUAAUACCGCAUAAGCGCACUAAAGCUGCAUGGCUCAGUGUGAAAAACUCCGGUGGUAUAAAGAUGGAUUCGCGUCUGAUUAGCUAGUUGGUGAGGUAACGGCUCACCAAGGCGACGAUCAGUAGCCGGCCUGAGAGGGUGAACGGCCACAUUGGGACUGAGACACGGCCCAAACUCCUACGGGAGGCAGCAGUGGGGAAUAUUGCACAAUGGGGGAAACCCUGAUGCAGCGACGCCGCGUGAGUGAAGAAGUAUUUCGGUAUGUAAAGCUCUAUCAGCAGGGAAGAAAAUGACGGUACCUGACUAAGAAGCCCCGGCUAACUACGUGCCAGCAGCCGCGGU